RNAcentral lists this ribosomal RNA (188 nucleotides) under uncultured bacterium. Its description in RNAcentral is "partial 16S ribosomal RNA". It matches the Rfam family "Bacterial small subunit ribosomal RNA", at positions 340 to 523 of the family's 1533-position model. The record is from RNAcentral.
UACGGGAGGCAGCAGUGGGGAAUAUUGGACAAUGGGUAWAGCCUGAUCCAGCCAUGCCGCGUGGKGAAGAAGGCCCUCGGGUCGUAAAGCACUUUAAGUUGGGAGGAAGGGCUUWCAGCGAAUACCUGUGAGUUUUGACGUUACCGACAGAAUAAGCACCGGCUAACUUCGUGCCACAGCCGCGGUAA